RNAcentral lists this long non-coding RNA (1177 nucleotides) under Strigops habroptila (Kakapo). RNAcentral's name for it is "lncRNA (ENSSHBG00005005692.1)". The record is from RNAcentral. Lineage: Eukaryota; Metazoa; Chordata; Aves; Psittaciformes; Psittacidae.
GGGGGGAACUGUAGUGUUUUGUCCCAUUUCAGUGCAGGCAGCUGAAAAUUGUAAAUCACAUGUAACAAAUACUUACCCCUGGCCAACAGCUUUAAAAAGAAAUUUUCAGCAGCAAACUGAAGCCCUAAUUCAAGUCAGCAGCUUGGGUUAUGUUUGGUUUUUUACUGUAAGUUUAGCUAGUUUGUGACUCAAAUCUCAGGUUUUACUAUACUGAAAAGUGCAGAAGAUUUUGUCAUUGUUUUGUUUUGUUUUGUGGCUAGGAUGUGACUUUAAUUUCCUACAGCAGACUGCUGAAAAUAGCACUGAAAGCUACAGCCUUAAUUAACUUGAUCCUAAAAAGUGCAAACGGCAGAGAGGCAGCACCAGGAGUAACUGAACCCAGAGGCUGUGUUCAUGCUGGGUGUAUGAGAUGCUGGAGGAAGGGGUAGUCCAGGCAAGGUGUAGGUUGACACCACACUGGAAAGCAUGUCAGGUCUUGGUUAUUCAUUAAACAUACUGCCACUUGUUUCUGUUUAUGUAUCAAGUGAAAGCAAUUACAUUACAACCAUUUGCAGCAUAUACACUCACUCCAGUGUGUGUAUACAUACCUAUGUAAACAGUUUAGCAGUGCUCCUCUCAGCCAGAUUUCAGUAAAAGCCCAUGUCUUUGAUUUAAAUCAGUUAAUGGGGGGCUAACACAAAUCAAUCCCUAGAGGCAGAAACAGAACCUUCCUGUCCUUUGUGCUCCUUCGCACACAUGUGUUCUCCCCUUCUCUCUGUACAGAUACAUAUGUUUGGGUUUUGUUUGGUUAAUCGCCUCCUGAGGAACUGAAAUCUGGUCUUGUGGCUCCUCCUGAUUUCCAGUAGGCUACAGUCCCUGAAUGAAUCAAAGCUGUAGGCUCAGUAUACUUCCUGUAGGAGGAAGCCUUAACCCCAUGUCCUGCCCAGGAUGGUGCCCUGUCUCCUGUCUGAACUCGUGUCCUGUACCUGAACAAUGCUGGAAAUGGUUUGUAGAAGUUUGGAAAGCGAAGUGGAGGAUGCGAGGGGGGAGAUGUGUACAUGUUCAAUAUGAAUAUAAUGUUCUUUGGUGUAUGGCAAGCUGUUUAAAUGGUUCAGAGCGAUGUGAGUUUCUCGUUGUGUCAUGAGCAUUACCUGUAUGUUAUGAUGAAAUAAAAUCAGAAAUGGUACCUGUUCAUACA